This 406-nucleotide ribosomal RNA is filed under the name uncultured bacterium. RNAcentral describes it as "partial 16S ribosomal RNA". It matches the Rfam family "Bacterial small subunit ribosomal RNA", at positions 29 to 526 of the family's 1533-position model. The record is from RNAcentral.
AUUGAACGCUGGCGGCAGGCCUAACACAUGCAAGUCGAACGAGUGGCGGACGGGUGAGUAAUGUCUGGGAAACUGCCUGAUGGAGGGGGAUAACUACUGGAAACGGUAUCUAAUACCGCAUACAAUCGGAUGUGCUCAGAUGGGAUUAGCUAUUAGGUGGGUUAAAGGCUCACCUAGGCGACGAGCCCUAGCUGGUCUGAGAGGUCGACGGGCCACACUGGAACUGGAAAACGGUCCGGACGCCUACGGGGGGAGGCAGGGGGGAAUGUUGGACAAUGGGGGCAGGCCUGAGGCGGCAAUGCCGCGUGUAUGAAGAAGGCCUUCGGGUGGUAAAGUACGUUCAGCGGGGAGGCGUUACCCGCAGAGGAAGCAACGGCUAACUCCGUGCCAGCAGCCGCGGUAAUAC